Molecule: ribosomal RNA, 524 nt
Filed under: uncultured Planctomycetota bacterium
Lineage: Bacteria; Pseudomonadati; Planctomycetota
Description: bacterial SSU rRNA
Rfam family: Bacterial small subunit ribosomal RNA
Source: RNAcentral
UCGAGGAUCUUCGGCAAUGGGGGCAACCCUGACCGAGCGAUGCCGCGUGCGCGAUGAAGGCCUUCGGGUUGUAAAGCGCGAAAGAGGGGAGAAAAGCCCGAAAGGGUUUGAUCUAUCCUCAGUAAGCUCGGGCUAAGUUCGUGCCAGCAGCCGCGGUAAGACGAACCGAGCGAACGUUGUUCGGAAUCACUGGGCUUAAAGGGCGCGUAGGCGGGCUGUCAAGUCUGGGGUGAAAUCCCGCGGCUCAACCGCGGAACUGCCUCAGAUACUGACGGCCUCGAGGGAGGUAGGGGCGAGCGGAACUAAUGGUGGAGCGGUGAAAUGCGUUGAUAUCAUUAGGAACUCCGGUGGCGAAGGCGGCUCGCUGGACCUUUUCUGACGCUGAGGCGCGAAAGCUAGGGGAGCAAACGGGAUUAGAUACCCCGGUAGUCCUAGCCCUAAACGUUGGGUACUAGGUAGUAGACUAGACAUGGGUUUACUGCCGAAGCAAAAGUGCUAAGUACCCCGCCUGGGGAGUAUGGUCG